CACUUCAUGCCUGGAAAUGAUGUAAGACGCAGCCACUCCUCUCUUAGAACUACAACCAAACAAUGCUCUGGCAAUCGACGCAGCUGCUCUCCAAAUGUCAGCGCCAACCCUGUCAAAAGAGUUUGAAAGCCACCAAGCUGAAGGACUUUGUGCUGUACCUUUCUCAUCCACAUUUUCCCCAAGCACUCUCAGGAACCUGGCAACAGGCAGCUGCUUCUUCCUUACCACCCCCACCCCUCAAACUCCCUCCCACCCCAAAAAAUGUCUGAGAAAACAAAUGUGACUCUGCGGGCAGCCCUGUUCUCCAGUGCCUCCUGGUGGCCACCUCGGAACAUACCGAUGAGCCUUGAAAUCUGCGGUUGUCUCUAAGACACAUCAAAUUUCAAAUAUUGCCUCGAAUUCACAAUAACCAAGACAUGGAAACAACCUAAUGCACAUCGAUGGAUGAUUGGAUAAAGAAGUUGUGGUCUGUAUAAUCAAUGGAAUAAUACUCAACUAUUAAAAAAAUGAAAGUUUUUUUUUUGUGGCAAUAUGGAUGGAAUUUGAGCAGCUACGAAGCCAUAUAUACCUGGGGUCCUGUGCAGAAGGCCUUCUAAACUCUGAAGCCACAGUUCUACAUGAAGGUGUAAAAUGAUGCCUGUCAGUAGCCAUUGCAACCAAAUAUCACAAUUAUUCAGUCUUGUGUCAGAAAGGGCCAUGUGAGGACACAGGGACAAGUGCUGUUUCCAACCCAAAAGCUCCUGCAAAGCCCAACUAAAGGGAAUCACUACUCACAAUAAGUGAAGCUGGUAGUCCCAAGACCUCCUGGGUAGUGCAUUGCACUGCCAGGAAGAAGGUACAUUUGAGAUCGGCAAGUGCCUUACUCACUUAAUUUUCUCAUCGGGAGGUUUUACGGACUCCAGGCCUGUAUAUUUCCUAGGUGAACAUGCCUGCUAUGUUGGGCUAAGGUACCAAAUACUCCAGAGAAGGACUUGGUAAAAGAAUGGGGGGCAAAGGUUCCUGAAAAUUCUCAAUGUCCAACUACAAAUAAGGCUGCUGGAGGACAAGAGGCUCUCCAAGGAACACUGAACCUGAGCCAGUCACAUCAGGGAAUAGAAACAUCUCUUUGUUCACUCUCUUAAAUGCUGCCCUCUAGGGUCAGUGUUAAGGCCACUUAUGGAGGGUUGAGAGACUCAUGGCAUAAAAUGACCAGAAUGAGGAGAAACACAGAUGGAAUGGUGAUAGCUGGCAAUUAGAACAUGGCAUCAAACACCACUGCCACAGAAGCUUACUAGCUACAAAGCCGCGCUAUGCAACCUUUAAGCAAAAACAUUGUUGAUUUUGUGGUUGUAAAAAACGUACCUUCAACUGCAGAACUCAGUUUUAUGACACCUUGAAUAAAAACAAAAAGUGGCAGUUAUAUAAUGGACCCAAAUUACUUUUUCCAGUCUUCUCAUAACAUAUACACGCUUCAGAUCUGGAUUUUUUUUUUGCUGGCAUCUUGAGAAUUUAACCAAAAAAUAUCAACUUCAAAAACGAAACAUUGUCAGUCCUAUGAUUAGACUUUUCUAAUUUUCAGGUCUCAAAAUCUAAUUUUCAGGUCUCCAAGGUGUCUUCAUUUCCCCACUAGAAUCAUUUGGGAGAGUUUUUCACUGAAUGUGUUUUGGGAUGAAACAAAGGCCACGUCUGAGUGGCUAUAUAAAUUAUUGUGCUGGAUUAUGGAUUGACAAAACCCAACCUGGCAGGACACCAGUCUCUACUACUUCCUAUUUCAUACCAUGUAUAGAGAUUAUUUGAUAUUUGUUAGGAGAGGGUUUCUGAUGAAAUAUAUAACAGGUGGUUAAAAUUUCAUACCAUGUAUAGGAGUUAUUUUGUAUUUGUUGGGAGAGGGUUUCUGAUGAAAUAUGUAACAGGUGGAUAAAAAUCAUGGUGUAAGCUGGGGUCUUCUUCUCUAGGGUGUUUGGGUCAGGGGACAUUUUCUGAUCUGAUGUGUCACUGCUUUGACCUCUGCUGGUCGGAGAGUGAAAGGACAACCUAAGGAUGUCAGAUUUGUUCAUGGAGGAACCAGAUAUUACCCCAGACUGACUAUUCAUGCACCUUUUCAGUUAAUUUAAAGGUGAAAAUAUUAACCUAAGAUGAUUAGACAUGAUGUCAUAAUUUGAUUUAAAAAAGUAUUUUUGGGUAAAUGCUCAUAAUAAUUAAAUCAUAUCCCCCAAAGUCUAUGUGUGAGCCGUGAUACUUUAUCCUGAGCAAAAAUGUCUACAGUUUCAUUUGAUUGAAAUUCUGUUUUUCUUUCAAACUGGAGGAGUUUCAGAUUUAAAGUGGAAACAAAACCCUUUUCAGUGCUGACAAACCAAAUUGAAUUCAGCAUGAAUAUAUACUGAUUUAAACAGAUUUUGUUCACUAGGAGACAAACUUGCUCUCCAUUGUAACUUCCUGAGAAAGCUGCUGUUAAGGUUAACUAUUGAAUUUCAUCUUUCCCACAGAAGCAGUAUUGUCUGGUCAAUGUUAACAAGGGACUCUGUAGGGGAAAAAAUAUGCAUAUAUAGUAUAUGUAUUUAUUAUACAUUUUACUG
Long non-coding RNA from Talpa occidentalis (Iberian mole), 2555 nucleotides. RefSeq lists it as uncharacterized. The record is from RefSeq and is a predicted model, not a curated record. NCBI's taxonomy places the organism in Eukaryota, Metazoa, Chordata, Mammalia, Eulipotyphla, Talpidae. The transcript has 6 exons.